Molecule: ribosomal RNA, 253 nt
Filed under: uncultured bacterium
Lineage: Bacteria
Description: partial 16S ribosomal RNA
Rfam family: Bacterial small subunit ribosomal RNA
Source: RNAcentral
GACAGAGGGGGCAAGCGUUGCUCGGAAUCACUGGGCGUAAAGGGCGCGUAGGCGGGAUGGCAAGUCGGUCGUGAAAUCCUUCGGCUCAACCGAAGAACGUCGGCCGAUACUGCCGUUCUUGAGGGAUGCAGAGGAGAUUGGAAUUCCCGGUGUAGCGGUGAAAUGUGUAGAGAUCGGGAGGAACACCGGUGGCGAAGGCGGGUCUCUGGGCCGAUACUGACGCUGAGGCACGAAAGCGUGGGGAGCAAACAGG